RNAcentral lists this ribosomal RNA (403 nucleotides) under uncultured bacterium. RNAcentral's name for it is "bacterial SSU rRNA". It matches the Rfam family "Bacterial small subunit ribosomal RNA", at positions 356 to 773 of the family's 1533-position model. The record is from RNAcentral.
GGGGAAUAUUGGGCAAUGGGCGAAAGCCUGACCCAGCAACGCCGCGUGAAGGAAGAAGGCCCUCGGGUUGUAAACUUCUUUUAUCAGGGACGAAAAAAAUGACGGUACCUGAUGAAUAAGCCACGGCUAACUACGUGCCAGCAGCCGCGGUAAUACGUAGGUGGCAAGCGUUAUCCGGAUUUACUGGGUGUAAAGGGCGUGUAGGCGGGACUGCAAGUCAGAUGUGAAAACUAUGGGCUCAACCCAUAGCCUGCAUUUGAAACUGUGGUUCUUGAGUGAUGGAGAGGCAGGCGGAAUUCCGUGUGUAGCGGUGAAAUGCGUAGAUAUACGGAGGAACACCAGUGGCGAAGGCGGCCUGCUGGACAUUAACUGACGCUGAGGCGCGAAAGCGUGGGGAGCAAAC